GUUUAAAUAGUUUAACAAAAACAUUAGUCUUGUAAACUAAAAAUAAGAAUUGUUCUUUUUAAACUUCAAGAA
This 72-nucleotide transfer RNA is filed under the name Anopheles sinensis. RNAcentral describes it as "tRNA-Thr". It matches the Rfam family "tRNA". From Rfam's summary of the family: Transfer RNA (tRNA) molecules are approximately 80 nucleotides in length. Their secondary structure includes four short double-helical elements and three loops (D, anti-codon, and T loops). The record is from RNAcentral. Lineage: Eukaryota; Metazoa; Arthropoda; Insecta; Diptera; Culicidae.